UACGUAGGGGGGCAAGCGUUUGUCCGGAAUCAUUGGGCGUAAAGCGCGCGUAGGCGGCCCGGUAAGUCCGUUGUGAAAGUCAAAGGCUCAACCUUUGAACGCCGAUGGAUACUGCCGGGCUAGAGUCCGGAAGAGGCGAGUGGAAUUCCUGGUGUAGCGGUGGAAUGCGCAGAUAUCAGGAGGAACACCAAUAGCGAAGGCAGCUCGCUGGGACGGUACUGACGCUAAGGCGCGAAAGCGUGGGGAGCGAACAGG
This 255-nucleotide ribosomal RNA is filed under the name uncultured bacterium. RNAcentral describes it as "partial 16S ribosomal RNA". It matches the Rfam family "Bacterial small subunit ribosomal RNA", at positions 524 to 776 of the family's 1533-position model. The record is from RNAcentral.